RNAcentral lists this ribosomal RNA (512 nucleotides) under uncultured Thermaceae bacterium. RNAcentral's name for it is "bacterial SSU rRNA". It matches the Rfam family "Bacterial small subunit ribosomal RNA", at positions 726 to 1241 of the family's 1533-position model. The record is from RNAcentral. Lineage: Bacteria; Thermotogati; Deinococcota; Deinococci; Thermales; Thermaceae.
UACCUGGACGACUUGUGACGCUGAGGCGCGAAAGCGUGGGGAGCAAACCGGAUUAGAUACCCGGGUAGUCCACGCCUUAAACCAUGAGUGCUAGGGUGUCCGGCUUCUGCUGGGUGCCGUAGCUAACGCGCUAAGCACUCCGCCUGGGAAGUACGCACGCAAGUGUGAAACUCAAAGGAAUUGACGGGGGCCCGCACAAGCGGUGGAGCAUGUGGUUUAAUUCGAAGCGACGCGAAGAACCUUACCAGGCCUUGACAUGCCCGGAACCCCUCUGAAAGGAGGGGGUGCCCGCAAGGGAGCCGGGACACAGGUGCUGCAUGGCCGUCGUCAGCUCGUGUCGUGAGAUGUUGGGUUAAGUCCCGCAACGAGCGCAACCCCUAUCCCUAGUUGCCAGCAGUUCGGCUGGGCACUCUAUGGAGACUGCCUGCGAAAGCAGGAGGAAGGCGGGGAUGACGUCUGGUCCGCAUGGCCCUUACGGCUUGGGCGACACACGUGCUACAAUGCCAAGGACA